Molecule: long non-coding RNA, 1624 nt
Organism: Puntigrus tetrazona (Sumatra barb)
Lineage: Eukaryota; Metazoa; Chordata; Actinopteri; Cypriniformes; Cyprinidae
Exons: 12
Source: RefSeq, a predicted model, not a curated record
UUAGUGGAGUCAUCUCUCUCCUGAUGGCAAGUCUGCAUUGGUGUUGCAGUGAACGAGGAUUCCCUGGGAAAGUAAUUUUUUUUUUGUGCUUUUUUUUGUUAUCUAAUGCUACAACAUCCAUAUUUUUAACCAUUUUCAGCUUGGAGCAGAUGAGAACAUGAUUGACGUAGUCAAGGAUAACCCGCACAGCUCUUCCAGAGAACUGCACUAGCCAAGAGACGCUGAUGAAAUCACAAAACUACAUGAAACAAACAAUAGAGACAGAAGUAAAGAUACAUAUGCCACAUGAAAACAUUUCUUUUGAGCUUUUGGAACAGACAUUAUGGGUAAACUUACUGGAACCUUCUCACUGACAGUAUUGCAAGGCAGUGGGAAACACUGUGUCAUUGACCUCUGUGAAGUAACAGUUGACGUCUGCUCGGCUGGACAGGAGAAUCCUGACAAUCUCAUACCUCCCAGAUCUCACCGCCACCAGGAGGCAGUGCAGGGGAUCCAGGUAAUGCCCUUUGUACGCUGCACAGUGGAUGGGAAGCUGUAAGGAAAGAUUAGCGAUGUUGGGAUCGGCUCCAUGUUGAAGUAAAAGUUCAAUGCAGUCAGGAUUGCCAGAGCCAGCAGCAUCAUAUAACACACUGUCUCCAUUUGGUGCCAGAGCAUUUACAUCGCCACCUAUUGGAGUGGAGGACAUCAUGGUUUAGUAAACAUUGAUUAACCAGUAUUACCAUAGUGAAUAAGGAUAUCCAGCGCCUCUGCUUGUCCGUACUCUGCUGCAAUCCCCAUGGGCGUCACUCCAUGCUCGUCUGUCUCCGAAACAUUCCCUCCAUGUUGCAGCAGUAGCGUAAGAAUCUCCGUGCUCAAGCAGAGUCCUAACAAUCUCCACCAGCCCAGCUUGAGUCGCCAAAAUCAAUGCCGUUUCUCCAUCUGCGGUUUCCUCCUCUAAACUCAACCUCUCACCAUAAAGUACCAUCUCCAGCACCUGCACGGAUUGCUGGACGGCAGCUCUAUGAAUCGGGUACCAGCCCUUGCUAUCCACCUCAGUGAAUGCGGCAGGAUAGUCCGACAGCUCCUGCAGAGCAAAGAGGUCACCUGCGGGGCCAGACGAAAAUUGCCUUACACUUAGCCACACAGCUAAUUACAGGCAUUUAACAGCUUUUUUCAAUAAAAUGAAAUGAUUUCAAAAGCCAACUUCUUAUGAGAGCAUCACACCUUCCUAGAGAGGCGAUGUCUUUACAUGACUCUUGAAUGCUCCGUUGAAUUGCAGCAUCAAGAAGGUCAUCGUCCUCAUCUAGGUCACCUGAUGGGUCCAUUUUCCUGGAGACGACAGAGGUGCUUCAGGGAUCGUGGGUUGUCUGAAACAAAUUCAAAAGCUAUUAGUCUGCAUUCCCUGAGACUAGAGAACCAUCGAUCUGUUGCUAGAGAACAGGAUGGGUCUCAGACGUGAGCAGAGGGGGACGCGGCUGACAUAGUUCAGUAGGAUCAGUACCGCUCGUCCCGACAGAUAUCACAUGGUUUACGUAGAUGGAUGUCCUUCCAAUCAAACCCCAUGUUGAAAUGGAGAUCAUGGUGACAAUGGAAACAUUUGCCUACGUCAUAUCCAUUAUUAAGAAGUAAUCGCAUCAUCUCCUCA